AUUGAACGCUGGCGGCAGGCCUAACACAUGCAAGUCGAGCGGAGCGGCGGACGGGUGAGUAAUGCCUAGGACUCUGCCUGGUCGUGGGGGAUAACGUUCGGAAACGGGAGCUAAUACCGCAUACUAUCAGAUGAGCCUAGGUCGGAUUAGCUAGUUGGUGGGGUAAAGGCCUACCAAGGCCACGAUCCGUAACUGGUCUGAGAGGAUGAUCAGUCCCACUGGAACUGAGACACGGUCCAGACUCCUACGGGAGGCAGCAGUGGGGAAUAUUGGACAAUGGGCGAAAGCCUGAUCCAGCCAUGCCGCGUGUGUGAAGAAGGUCUUCGGGUUGUAAAGCACUUUAAGUUGGGAGGCGUUACCAGCAGAAUAAGCACCGGCUAACUCCGUGCCAGCAGCCGCGGUAAUUC
This 407-nucleotide ribosomal RNA is filed under the name uncultured bacterium. RNAcentral's name for it is "partial 16S ribosomal RNA". It matches the Rfam family "Bacterial small subunit ribosomal RNA", at positions 30 to 526 of the family's 1533-position model. The record is from RNAcentral.